Molecule: ribosomal RNA, 253 nt
Filed under: uncultured bacterium
Lineage: Bacteria
Description: partial 16S ribosomal RNA
Rfam family: Bacterial small subunit ribosomal RNA
Source: RNAcentral
UACGUAGGGUGCAAGCAUUGUCCGGAUUUAUUGGGCGUAAAGAGCUCGUAGGCGGCUUGUCACGUCGGGUGUGAAAACUCGGGGCUCAACCCCGAGCCUGCACUCGAUACGGGCUAGCUAGAGUGUUGCAGGGGAGACUGGAAUUCCUGGUGUAGCGGUGAAAUGCGCAGAUAUCAGGAGGAACACCGGUGGCGAAGGCGGGUCUCUGGGCCGAUACUGACGCUGAGGAGCGAAAGCGUGGGGAGCGAACAGG